GAGUUUGAUCCUGGCUCAGAACGAACGCUGGCGGCGUGCCUAACACAUGCAAGUCGAACGUGAUCCAGAGCUUGCUCUGGUGAAAGUGGCGCACGGGUGAGUAACGCGUGGAUAACCUACCCUGGUAUCCGGGAUAACAUUCCGAAAGGGGUGCUAAUACCGGAUAAGCCCACAGGCUCUUUGGAGCUUGCGGGAAAAGGUGGCCUCUAUUUAUAAGCUACUGUAUCAGGAUGGGUCCGCGUACCAUUAGCUAGUUGGCGGUGUAACGGACCACCAAGGCGACGAUGGUUAGCUGGUCUGAGAGGAUGAUCAGCCACACUGGAACUGAGACACGGUCCAGACUCCUACGGGAGGCAGCAGUGGGGAAUUUUGCGCAAUGGGGGAAACCCUGACGCAGCAACGCCGCGUGAGUGAUGAAGGCCUUUGGGUCGUAAAGCUCUGUCAGAGGGGAAGAAAUGAUAUAGUGCUAAUACCACUUUAUCUUGACGGUACCCUCAAAGGAAGCACCGGCUAACUCCGUGCCAGCAGCCGCGGUAAUAC
RNAcentral lists this ribosomal RNA (540 nucleotides) under uncultured Geobacteraceae bacterium. Its description in RNAcentral is "bacterial SSU rRNA". It matches the Rfam family "Bacterial small subunit ribosomal RNA", at positions 9 to 526 of the family's 1533-position model. Lineage: Bacteria; Pseudomonadati; Thermodesulfobacteriota; Desulfuromonadia; Geobacterales; Geobacteraceae. The record is from RNAcentral.